RNAcentral lists this ribosomal RNA (404 nucleotides) under uncultured bacterium. Its description in RNAcentral is "bacterial SSU rRNA". It matches the Rfam family "Bacterial small subunit ribosomal RNA", at positions 355 to 776 of the family's 1533-position model. RNAcentral also lists the same sequence under 1 other name. The record is from RNAcentral.
UGGGGAAUAUUGGACAAUGGGCGAAAGCCUGAUCCAGCCAUGCCGCGUGAGUGAUGAAGGCCUUAGGGUUGUAAAGCUCUUUCAGUAGGGAAGAUAAUGACGGUACCUACAGAAGAAGCCCCGGCUAACUUCGUGCCAGCAGCCGCGGUAAUACGAAGGGGGCUAGCGUUGUUCGGAUUUACUGGGCGUAAAGCGCACGUAGGCGGAUCGUUAAGUCGGGGGUGAAAUCCUGGAGCUCAACUCCAGAACUGCCUUCGAUACUGGCGAUCUUGAGUCCGGAAGAGGUGAGUGGAACUCCUAGUGUAGAGGUGGAAUUCGUAGAUAUUAGGAAGAACACCAGUGGCGAAGGCGGCUCACUGGUCCGGUACUGACGCUGAGGUGCGAAAGCGUGGGGAGCAAACAGG